This 468-nucleotide ribosomal RNA is filed under the name uncultured bacterium. Its description in RNAcentral is "partial 16S ribosomal RNA". It matches the Rfam family "Bacterial small subunit ribosomal RNA", at positions 28 to 507 of the family's 1533-position model. The record is from RNAcentral.
GACGAACGCUGGCGGCGUGCUUAACACAUGCAAGUCGAACGGAAAGGCCCUGCUUUUGUGGGGUGCUCGAGUGGCGAACGGGUGAGUAACACGUGAGUAACCUGCCCUUGACUUUGGGAUAACUUCAGGAAACUGGGGUUAAUACCGGAUAGGAGCUCCUGCUGCAUGGUGGGGGUUGGAAAGUUUCGGCGGUUGGGGAUGGACUCGCGGCUUAUCAGCUUGUUGGUGGGGUAGUGUCUUACCAAGGCUUUGACGGGUAGCCGGCCUGAGAGGGUGACCGGCCACAUUGGGACUGAGAUACGGCCCAGACUCCUACGGGAGGCAGCAGUGGGGAAUAUUGCACAAUGGGCGGAAGCCUGAUGCAGCAACGCCGCGUGCGGGAUGACGGCCUUCGGGUUGUAAACCGCUUUCGCCUGUGACGAAGCGUGAGUGACGGUAAUGGGUAAAGAAGCACCGGCUAACUACGUG